AGUCCUGGGGGGGAACGUUUUCCCCCUUUUCUGGUUUACAAGACCAGGGUAGUGGGCGACGCACAUUACCCUGGUCUUGCUAUACCGGGCAUCUGGUUCACGCACAUAACCCUGGUCUUGCUAUACCGGGCAGUA
This 135-nucleotide transfer RNA is filed under the name Equus caballus (horse). RNAcentral's name for it is "partial transfer RNA-Thr". Lineage: Eukaryota; Metazoa; Chordata; Mammalia; Perissodactyla; Equidae. The record is from RNAcentral.